This 216-nucleotide ribosomal RNA is filed under the name Glomeromycotina sp. RNAcentral's name for it is "partial small subunit ribosomal RNA". The stretch from base 40 to 216 matches the Rfam family "Eukaryotic small subunit ribosomal RNA", at positions 686 to 864 of the family's 1831-position model. The record is from RNAcentral. Lineage: Eukaryota; Fungi; Glomeromycota.
GGGUCAGUAGGUUGGUCGUGCCACCGGUACGUACUGGUCUCACUGAUUCCUCCUUCCUGAAGAACCUUAAUGCCAUUAAUUUGGUGUUGCGGGGGAACAGGACUGUUACUUUGAAAAAAUUAGAGUGUUUAAAGCAAGCUAACGCUUGAAUACAUUAGCAUGGAAUAAUGAAAUAGGACGAUCGAUCCUAUUUUGUUGGUCUCUAGGAUUGACGUA